Long non-coding RNA from Mus musculus (house mouse), 1956 nucleotides. RefSeq annotates it as predicted gene, 41409. The record is from RefSeq and is a predicted model, not a curated record. Lineage: Eukaryota; Metazoa; Chordata; Mammalia; Rodentia; Muridae. The transcript is spliced from 3 exons.
AUGGGUUCAGGCUUCUCAGACUUCAAAGACAGACCCAUAGAUUCUCCUGCAGAGAAAUACUGUCUUGAAAAACAAAACAAAAACAAAAACAGCCCAAAUGGAAGUUUCUCAGAAAGUAAUAGUCAAAGUCUUAGCAAAGCACGCAGGGUGGGGAAACAGCAAUGAGACUGUCCACUUAAAAAAAGGAAAAAAUUAUCAACAUGGAAACAAGUGCUGCUGAGACUUCUGGAUCUACACAAGAGAGUACCCAUUUAAAUGCCAGAAAUGUGGGGGAAAGCUCGGACCUUAUUAACCACCAAAGAACUCACAGCAAAGAGGAACCUUUUAAGUGUCAGCAGUGUGGUAAGAGGUUCCAAUGGAGUUUCGAUCUUAAUAAGCACCUAACCACACACCAAGGUAAUAACAACAGCUAAGUGUUCAUGGCAUGGGAAAAGCUUCAGUCAGAAUACAAAUCCUCACACACAGCACAGGACUCGGGAGAGAGAGGGCUUUUCCCUGUUAUGAGUUCAGGAAAACAGCCAGAAUUCCCACCUUGUUAAACAUCAGAGAGCACACACAGGUGAGCAGCCUUAGACAUGCAAUAUGUGCAAGAGAAGCUUUUGCAGAUGGUCAUGCCCUCUCAGACUCCAGAAAUACCACCAAGAAAGAGAAACGUGUUGGUAUCCUCUGAAGAAAUUCACCCAAUAGAGCUUGGAUCUGAAGUUGAGAAAUUCUAAAUUAUGAGGCACGAAGAACAUUUCAUCAGAUAUUUUGGAAAUGAAAACACGCUCCACAGAGAGUAAUCAGGGUUUGCUCUGCAGGGAAACUCUGUUACUUGUGCUAGCUGCCAUUUUUAGUUAGACAUCUCAGAAAUGCUUAGCAAGAGUUUUAAGAGCAUUCUAAAUAAGGGAAAGAGCAAUUUGGAGAUUGUAUCUAGGAAAUACUUAUUUCAAUUUUGUAUAUCAAAUGCACCCAAUCUGUAGUCUUUAGUCACAGUACUAAGUAUUAGUUUUGGAACAUACAGACUAGAAGCAUUUGGAGCAUAGACUUCUAAGAAAAAAAGUAUUAACAUGUAUUUAUGUUUUUGUGGAAACCAUGGUAAUGAAUCAUAGCAAUGAAUUUAAUGUCAAUGUUUCACUGUGAAAUUAAUUCUCAGAUCAAUUAUUAAUUUGUAUGAUAAAGCCUCACUCUGUAUCCCAAUUUGGCCUUGAACUCACCAGCCUCCUGCCUCAGCCACCCAGGUACUGGAAUAGGUGUGCACCAUAACUAAUUUGGAACAUUUAUAUUUAAACAUUAUGUGACCCUAAGGAGUGGGGUCAAAGGAGGAGUUUAACCGUGCUGUUUGCUGGCCUUGUUUAUCCAUGAUAAUGCUGAUGUGUGUGUGUGUGUGUGUGUGUGUGUGUGUGUGUGUGUGUGUGUUUCACCUACUGCCACAAAACAGUUCUCUGUGAGUACCACCUGGGGUGAUGCUGAUCCAAUUCAUCCUUCUUGAUAAUUACAAGGAAUCAAAGGAAUUGAGUAAAAUUGGAUCCAAUGUCACCUGGCAAUAAAGUGUUGGUCCAAUGUUCACAACAGCUUAGUGGGCAAAGGUAUCAGCAGCACACAGAUUCACAGGAGAAGCCUCAGAUCUCCUGACUAGAUAUCGUUGACAGAUAACUGGAAGCUGUGGAUCCAUCCUUUAGAAGAUGACAUGAAGACUUCUCCGUCAAAGACUGAUUCAGAAGGAUUCCCUUCUCCAAGGUCAAUACAACCAGUUCUGGACUACAAGGACUACAAAUGUGCAUGAGAUGCCACUCCCAGUCUCUGUGGUGCUGAGAAUGGACCCACGCCCCUGUGCAGGCUCAGCAGGGGCUCUACCAGCUGAACCGCUCCUGAACCGUCUUCCUGUGUCUUUUAAUUUCUUAAUAGCUUACUUAAGUGUGGAAUAAUUUUUUUUGUCUGAAUGUAGCAGUAGAUCUAUUCACUUCUUUGAGAAUA